UGGGGAAUAUUGGGCAAUGGGCGAAAGCCUGACCCAGCGACGCCGCGUGGGUGAUGAAGGCCUUCGGGUUGUAAAGCCCUGUCAUGCGGAAAGAACGACCCUGUGACGCAUACUCACAGGGAGUGACGGUACCGCAGGAGGAAGCACCGGCUAACUCCGUGCCAGCAGCCGCGGUAAUACGGAGGGUGCAAGAGUUGUUCGGAAUUAUUGGGCGUAAAGGGCGCGUAGGCGGUAAUGUAAGUCAGAUGUGAAAUACUCCGGCUCAACCAGAGAACAGCAUCUGAGACUGCAUAACUAGAGUACAGAAGAGGGAAACGGAAUUCCCGGUGUAGAGGUGAAAUUCGUAGAUAUCGGGAGGAACACCAGUGGCGAAGGCGGUUUCCUGGUCUGAUACUGACGCUGAGGCGCGAAAGCGUGGGGAGCAAACAG
RNAcentral lists this ribosomal RNA (429 nucleotides) under uncultured bacterium. Its description in RNAcentral is "bacterial SSU rRNA". It matches the Rfam family "Bacterial small subunit ribosomal RNA", at positions 355 to 775 of the family's 1533-position model. The record is from RNAcentral.